GAAAGGGGAGAUUCAGGUCUCGCCGCGCGCCGGGCCGCGCCCGCGAUGCAGGGAUGGCGUUUUCGCGGCCGUGGGGCGACCCUCGGUCCGGGANNNGCGCCACCCCGCGGGCGCGGUCUGUCCCGGCGCCGGAGUGACGCACUUCUCCCCCGGUAGAACGUCGCGAUCCGUCGGUCGCCGGCCUAAGGCCCCUGGUGGAGCCUGCGCGGUUCGCCGCGCACGACCCAGGGGAUCCCGGCCGGGUGCCCGACGGUACGAAGAGAGGAAGGAGUCGGCGCGCCUCUCGCAGGCGUCCGCCCCUCCGCAAGCGCUCGCGGGAGUCGGGAGUCUCCGGGCCCGGCCCGGCUUCCUUCUUCAGCGGGGCUGUUUGCGACGAGGAGGUGCGCUCGGAC
Molecule: ribosomal RNA, 392 nt
Filed under: Hadrothemis defecta
Lineage: Eukaryota; Metazoa; Arthropoda; Insecta; Odonata; Libellulidae
Description: eukaryotic LSU rRNA
Source: RNAcentral